Long non-coding RNA from Oreochromis aureus, 1498 nucleotides. The record is from Ensembl. Lineage: Eukaryota; Metazoa; Chordata; Actinopteri; Cichliformes; Cichlidae.
CUCUGGCUCUAGGGUCGUUGCUGCCAGAGCGAUGGUAGCUGAGACGCAGCGGAGCGGAGGUGGAGUGCCUGGAUUAAAACAGGACAUAUUAGCAGCAUUUAACCUUCAGUUACUCUUUAUGUAGUUAGAUAGGAGUCAUGUUUCUUUUUAGCUGAAAAACCUUACACCCAGAGAGAGACAGCCAGGUUCAUAAUGGAUAUAAGGAAGUUUUUUCAAAAACAGGAGCCACAUUCAGUCCAAAGAGGGAGAGAGGAAAGAGGGGAACAUGAGGAGAAAGUACAAGGUCAGGAAGAACCAGCCUUCUUGGCCAGGGUGAAGGGAGUAUCUGCCAUCAAACAAGAAGACAGCCGCAUUCCAGCAUGCUGAAGUCUCCUCUUCACUGCUGAUGUUGAGACUGAUGUUCUGUUUGAAGAAACUGCCAAGCUGAAGACCUGUGUGACGCCCGUGUCUCAGAUUGAAGACUAACAUACUUGUCCUCUCGCUCAGUUUUUCAUCAGAGCCUCCCAUUUUGCACUGUCCUUUGAAGGGAGCAGGACACACCUGCUUAUAUGGAAAAAUCAAAUUUCUGACAAUUUCAGUGAGAAAUAAAUGCCAGUUUUCAUUUAUUACCAUAACUAGGUGAAUGGAUAGCAACAGUCAGUUAGCAGUUUUACAUGAUAAAGUUGCAUUAGUGAACACAAUGUAGAACACAGCAGACAUGGUUGAUGAGAAUGUGGUUCUGCAGAACUACGUAGGUAUUUCAUAAUUAUUGGAUUUAUUGGUUAAUAAAUCCAAUAAUUAUUUUUAUAUAUGGAGUAUUUCUGAUUAAUGUUCUGUUUUUUUGAAUGAAAAUCAAAAUCAAAAACACCAACCAACCUGUACUGGCUGGUAUUCUAUUUUUUCUUUUUAUAUCAGUAAUAGUUUAUUUCUAUUUUUAAUAACUAUGAACUAUAUUUUCAUGUAAUUAUAAAGCCAGGUCUGUCAGUGGACAAGUAAACCUGCCUGAAACUCUUUCUGACACCUCUCCAAGCAUUUCGGUCCAUGUUCUGGUUUAAUUCGUUGGUUGCUCUGCCUCUUUCUUUGAUCCGGAAAAGCAAAGUGCAUGCUGACAUUUGGAUACUGUGCAGACAACACAACAAGGAUUCCAUCUAUCAAGCAGAAGAACACUCGCUGGCCUAAAACAGAACUUUUUUAUGUGAUGCAGCUCUGCAGGUAUUUGUUAGAGCAUCAGAUCUCAGCCCACCACGGAGCCUGCGCCCUGUGCCAAACCAAACCUCCUGUUUUAAAAAAUAAUUAGUUGUAUUUCCAUUCAUUUAUCCUCUUAUCCUCUUUCUGACACUACUGUGACAUGUCCCCUCCAAGCACGACUUCAAGUGAUCAAUUCAGCUGGAGAUGGUGGAAAUAUGUGGCUUUUGGGUUUGGGCAGCAUCCCAUUUCGUCAAAAAUAGUAGACAUGCCUAUCUGGAGAGAGCAUGGGAAUAAAAUGUUAACUGUAAAGCUGGCAAAAUAACGAUGGCUG